UAGAGAGGUGCUUGCACCUCUUGAGAGCGGCGGACGGGUGAGUAAUGCCUAGGAAUCUGCCUGGUAGUGGGGGAUAACGUUCGGAAACGGACGCUAAUACCGCAUACGUCCUACGGGAGAAAGCAGGGGACCUUCGGGCCUUGCGCUAUCAGAUGAGCCUAGGUCGGAUUAGCUAGUUGGUGAGGUAAUGGCUCACCAAGGCGACGAUCCGUAACUGGUCUGAGAGGAUGAUCAGUCACACUGGAACUGAGACACGGUCCAGACUCCUACGGGAGGCAGCAGUGGGGAAUAUUGGACAAUGGGCGAAAGCCUGAUCCAGCCAUGCCGCGUGUGUGAAGAAGGUCUUCGGAUUGUAAAGCACUUUAAGUUGGGAGGAAGGGCCAUUACCUAAUACGUGAUGGUUUUGACGUUACCGACAGAAUAAGCACCGGCUAACUCUGUGCCAGCAGCCGCGGUAAUACAGAGGGUGCAAGCGUUAAUCGGAAUUACUGGGCGUAAAGCGCGCGUAGGUGGUUCGUUAAGUUGGAUGUGAAAUCCCCGGGCUCAACCUGGGAACUGCAUUCAAAACUGUCGAGCUAGAGUAUGGUAGAGGGUGGUGGAAUUUCCUGUGUAGCGGUGAAAUGCGUAGAUAUAGGAAGGAACACCAGUGGCGAAGGCGACCACCUGGACUGAUACUGACACUGAGGUGCGAAAGCGUGGGGAGCAAACAGGAUUAGAUACCCUGGUAGUCCACGCCGUAAACGAUGUCAACUAGCCGUUGGGAGCCUUGAGCUCUUAGUGGCGCAGCUAACGCAUUAAGUUGACCGCCUGGGGAGUACGGCCGCAAGGUUAAAACUCAAAUGAAUUGACUGGGGCCCGCACAACGGUGGAGCAUGUGGUUUAUUCGAAGCAACGCGAAGAACCUUACCAGGCCUGACAUCCAAUGAACUUCCAGAGAUGGAUUGAUGCGUCGGGACAUUGAGACAGUGCUGCAUGGAUGUCGUAGCUCGUGUCAUGAGAUCUUCGCGUCAGUUCUGUAUGAGUUCCACCUGUACCUUAUCUCCAGCCCGUUAAGGUGGGCACUCUAGUGACUGCCUGUGACAACCUGCAGAGUAGGAUGACGUGAGUAUCUGACUUCGCUGGCUGCCAUGCUCCUGCUCGACCAGGAUGCCAGCCCGAGUGAGC
This 1164-nucleotide ribosomal RNA is filed under the name Pseudomonas sp. PG02. Its description in RNAcentral is "bacterial SSU rRNA". It matches the Rfam family "Bacterial small subunit ribosomal RNA", at positions 69 to 1264 of the family's 1533-position model. The record is from RNAcentral. Lineage: Bacteria; Pseudomonadati; Pseudomonadota; Gammaproteobacteria; Pseudomonadales; Pseudomonadaceae.